This is a long non-coding RNA of Beta vulgaris subsp. vulgaris (sugar beet), 843 nucleotides long. RefSeq lists it as uncharacterized. The transcript has 2 exons. Lineage: Eukaryota; Viridiplantae; Streptophyta; Magnoliopsida; Caryophyllales; Amaranthaceae. The record is from RefSeq and is a predicted model, not a curated record.
CUCUUGAAUGAGCAAAUCUCAGCCCUUUAUUAGAGAAAGACCAAAUCUAAGCCCUUCAUUUAUGAUUUAAUUUUCUGAAAAUAAAAAAGAAAUUCACCCUAAAUUCAUAAGAGGAAAUAUCAACCCUUCAAUCUUUUCAUCCAACGGAUAAAAACACCCUAAAAAUCCCUAACAUUGGACAAUCUCAGUUUGGAGCCGCCACAAAAGUUAAACCCUGAUCAAAUAUCAGUUUCUCUUUCAUGAAUUCCCUUCUUUAGUUGCCCUCCUAUGCCAAAACAAGUUUCAAUAAAUACAAAGCAUCCAAAAAAACCAGCAAAGAAAAUGCAUGGCAUCCAAACAAGGAUUAUAUUCCGUGAAAGGGAAGCAUUGGACAAUCUAAAUACAAAGCAUCCAAACAAGGAUUAGAAGUGUUCAUCCGAUCUCUUUAUCAUUCUUCCCAAAAUGAAAUCUCUCAGAUGGUCUUAAUCUUUUCCCCAUUAUGAUAGAUGAAUCUAGAGAACGGUUUAUAUGCAAAGAUGAAUCCAAAGUAGAUAUCCGAUUAUAUAAAUUCAAGCAAGGGCCUCAUAAACAAAGUGUAGCAGAUGAAGUUUGGCAACUUUGAAGAUGGUGAUGAAAAAAAGACCAAUUAAUUUAUUUUGUGUUAGUUUGAGAUCUAUUCUAAGAAUUUUUUUACUGAUUUUAUUUUUUACUUUUAGAUCUAGUGUAUUUUUUUUAUAACGAGCGAAUGUAAUAAUUAGUAAGGAAUUUUAAUUACCAAGAUCUACCCAUGCUCUUUUGCAAAGUUCGAAUAUUAGGUUGUUUGUUUGAUUUGAGAUCUGUUAAUCUAUGCUUCAGUUCAUCUUA